This 18639-nucleotide long non-coding RNA is filed under the name Olea europaea subsp. europaea. Lineage: Eukaryota; Viridiplantae; Streptophyta; Magnoliopsida; Lamiales; Oleaceae. The record is from RNAcentral.
CCUACACAAGCCAAAAUAAAAAAUUCAACAAAUACCCCCAAUUAAUUUUUAGGAUAAAAAUGUUAAAAAGUUAACCUGAAGGAGACUAAGAAGAGGGGUUCAGUGGAAUUGGACAAAGAUGGUUGCUGGAGGGGCGAGAAGGAGUGAUCGAAGAGGGUAAAAACGUCGUCGGCGUCUUCGGAUGCAGAGGGAAAGAGUAGAGAGUCCAUGAAACGGAUGGAUUUGAAAAGUAAAUGUCGAAGGAAGGAAGAUAAAAAACGAAUAGAUUCGUUAAAGGGAAAACGGAGGGGAAAAGUCAAGAAUUUGGCUAUGGUGUGUCGUUUCAGGUUGAGGCCACGGUUCAUCUGUACAAAGAAAAGUUGUGAAUGAAAGCUAAUUACUGUUUUAAAUUAAUAAUAAAUCGUAAAAAGUGUGUUUUUCCAUUUUGUGGAGCAAAUAAAACAUUAAUACUUUGCCUUUUUAAAUUGUCAAACAAUUAUAAUUAAAUAUAUUAUGAAAGUAUUUGUAUUAGGGUAAUAAUAUUACCAAUACAACAUUUACUUGUUGCAACAAAAUUUUAAUUAAUAUUUUUUAUUUACUUAAAUGACCCUAAGUAAAAAUACUUAAUUAAACAUACUUUUAAAUAUAUAUUUUUAACGUUAAAUAAUUUUUACAAACACCACAAUCAUUAAUUAAUUUAUUCAUUAUUUCCUUUAUGGAUGUGGUGCGAGUUGAAAAUUAUUUUACCCUUCAAUAUCUCCCCUUUUUUCAACAGCUAUUUCUCACAAGAGUGGUGCAUGGCAAAGAGAAAGCACAAAUGGAUUGCGGCAACGCUUUGGUUUGUGAAAAUUGGAUGCAAAGUAAAGAGCUAAAUUAGGGUUUGUACGAUAAAUUUACCAGAGAUGUAUAUGAAAUUGUCAUUUUAGGUUCUUGUGAGAAAAAAAAAAUUUGAGUCUUUAAUAAAGACAGAAUGAUCGUUCAAAUUAUUGCAAAUCGAGUCUUUAGAAAUAAUAGAAUUAUUGUUCAAAUUAUUGCUCUCCUACUAAGAUGAAUUAGCCCUAAAAUUAUUAUUGAAAACAAGAAGCUCUAAAUCCACACCUUUCUAUUCAAAUUCAAAGGAUAGUGGCAUCCUCUUCAUCUAAUAAUCAAACCCCAAAAAAAUCAAAUCCUCCUGCGAGCUUUAAUAAAAUACAAAAGAACGGUUAUUGGAUCUAGAAAGUCAAGAAUAUGUAUACACACAUGUAUCUAUCUAUUUUUUUGUAGUUAAUCAGAAGAAAAUGUAAGCCAUGCAAUAGAUAAUGGGUAUGGAAGAGAAAUGGGUUAGGUUUUUUUACUUCUUUUCUUGUCACAUAUAAGUAGCUUUAGAUUAGUACUUCUCUGCCAUGAAACAUAAAAAAAACACAGAUUGGGAACUAAAAGGAAAUGCGAGGAAGAAAAGAAAAGGUGAAGUUUAGAAAAUAUAUUUUUAUUAAAUUAGGUAUUUAAUUAUAAAUUGUUGUGGUGCAUUUAUUAAAAUAUAUGUUUUAAUUCUGGUGUGGACAUAAUGUGUUGUAUUUAGUAAAUUUUGUGGUGAUAAUAUAAUUAUCCUUUGUAUUAUUAUCAACUUUUUUCUUUAAUUAUUAACGGGUAAUUAUAUUACCAUUACAAAUUUUAUUAAGUACAUCACAGUUUUCUUAUUUACUAAAAUAUCCUUAAGUAAAAUUACAUAAGUAGGAUUUUAAUAUACUUUUUAAUUAAAUAAAUUAUUGUUACACCACAAAUAUAAAACCUAAUUUUUUUUUUCUUUUUCCUCAGCAUUUCAUUGCUCAUAGUUAAUAUUGUUUUAUUACCCUAGUUUUUGAAAUUAAUCUCUAUGAUUUAAGUCAUAAAAGAAUAACAAUCUGCUUCAUCAAAAUAAAACCCAUUCGUUAUUAAAAUCAUUUUAUCUAUGGAAUUGUAAAGUUGAUGUCGAAAAAAUUUCUUAAUUUUUACUUAAAAGUGUUUCCAAAUUAAACUUUCAGGAUUAAAAAAUGAAAUUACAAAUACAUUAAAAAUUCAUAUCUCAAAUAAAAAUGGUAACACAAACAAAUUAUUGACAACUUCAAAUGAUCCGUUCAGAUAUAUUAAUUAUUUGUGACAAACAUUUAGUUUAGUGUUCUUUGCCGAUCUUCUAUUUCCAAUGGCUGUGAAAUAAUAAGGGAAAAUGUUGAGAAAAUGAGGAUUAACAUAGGUGAUAAGUACACCACAAUAUUGUAUUCAGUUUUUUCAAUUUUUUGUUUUUAUUGAAUUAGGAGUAUAAUUGUAAAUUUAUUGUGGUGUAUUGAUUAAAAAUAUAUUUUAAUUGUGGUGUGAUUAUAAUGUGAUGUAGUAAUUAAAAUUUGUAGUGGUAAUAUAAUUAACCAUUAUUAAUUAAUUGAAAUAAAAAUUUAACCCUCGUAAAUAAAAUUAAUUUCUUUUAUGCCCUAAAUUCACAGGGAUUCUAACUUCAUAGAUUUUGAGAUCAAUAGAGCUCCAAGUAUAGGAAAAUUUUAACAGAAUGGAUAUUGACGUUGACGUGGCCAAGCCUGAUUGGCCUUUUUUUAAUGUUUUCCUAUAUAUUCAAUGGUGCCGUUCCAAGUGUUUUCUGUUAAAAAAAUUUAUACCUAUAGCAUUAUUAUUUUGAGAUUUACAGGUGAUGGGUAAGUGUAAUAAUUUGAAAACCACUAUUUAGUGACGGUAUUUUAUUAAAACUUGAAGUUUCAUUUUAAAAGGUCAAUCACAAAAUUCAAAUUCUUAUAAAUUGAUUUAUACUUUUUAUCUUUAUUCCGUGUGGAAUUUUACCACUUAGAAUGUCCGCGCAAGAUGUUAGCUCGUUUGAGCAAAUCAAUCUUUAAAUUCAUGUGCUCAUUUUUUUAGUCUUAAUUAGAUGGAAUUACUUGUUGAAACUUAAUGAACUCUAAUAUCGUAUUAUGACUUUCGAUUCCAUCUUAAAAGGUCAAUCUUUUUAAAAUGAGUAACUCAAAUCCUUAUAAAUUGAUAUAUAUUUUUAUCUUUAUUCGAUUAUCGAAUUUUAUCCCUGAACAUCGUUUUUCCAAAAGAAUUGAUUUUUUGCUGUUGAAAUGUGAGAACAUUUUAAUUUUUUUAAUGCAAUUUGCUGUGGGCUCUCUCUAGCCAGAGAAAGCAAGAGUCAAAUUAAAUUUAUUGCCUUUUUAUGUUAAUGUUCAGUUCGUCCUCCGUAAGCGAAAAGGGGUUGAUUUGGCGCAUUUAUUUGGAAGGGGCAUUUUGAUAGGGGUGUAAAUGAGUCGAGCUGAAAUUCUUGGCUCGAGCUUUUUCAAUACGGGCUUUUUUUGGUCCGAGCUGAGCCGAGCCGGCUCGACUCAAAAAAAUAAAGCUCGACCCGAGCUUUUGGCUCGGGCAUUACCGAGCCGAGCCGAGCCGGCUCGUGUUUUGGUGUCUUUUUUUUUUUUUUUUUUAAAUUUUUUUCCCUUAAUUGCUGCCGAACAGGCAGCUUUAUAACUAAAGCUGCUUGUUAGCAGCAGUUAGGCAACAGGUAACUGCUGCCAAUAGGCAGCUAUAAAGCUGCAAGCCUUUUUUUUAAUUUUUAGUUAUUUUUUUUAAUUAAACGGGCCGGCCCGUCAAUCCACGGUCCGGCCCGGACUCGGGCAAUUGCCCCCUUUUGGAGCUUGGGCUUUUUCCGAGCCGAGUCACAGGUCGCCCGAGCCACCGAGCCUUUUUGACAUCCCUACAUUUUGAUCCUUCAAACAUGUUUGUAGGGGGUAAAAUUGAGAAAUCAAAUGAAAUAAAUGUCGGCCUUCUCAAAGUUUCAAACAAUUUUUUGUAGGCAUUCAUUUCUGAAUUCCAAAUGCCAGACAUCAAAUCCAGCAAAAUUUGAUAUUUUCUCUAAAAUAGUCGCAUCAAACAAGGGCUUUAUAUCCUUUUCUAGUUUAGUUUAAAAUUCGAUUUUUAGUAUAUUUCAAUAAAAGAAUGUGAAAAUUGUGGUUAAAAAUUAAUAAAAAUUGUAUCUCAUGAAUUUUGUUGUAAAAUAUGAGUUUUAGAAAAUGGGUCCGACUCUCCAACGUGGAUAUAAAUAACAUAAGACAGAGAUUUUUUAUUUUGAUUUUAUUUUAUUUUAGGAGUGUAGAAAUAAAGAUAGGAAAGAGAGAAGAAUGUAUAUUUACAUGCAUGAAUUUUGCGUCAACUCAGCAUGGGGGUGUUGAGGUUGAGAUGAAUCAAUAAGACUCUUAAAAUUAUUGAACAAUUAUAAAUAAUAAGUGUUUGGUAAACUUGAAAAACUAAUUAUGAAAGAAUUUGUAUUAUUAUCAACUUCUAUUCCUUAAUUACUCAUUAUUAAAAUAAAAAUUUAACCUUGUCAAUAAAAAUAAUUUCUUUUAUGUAGUAUUCUAAUUUUUAGUAGAUUUUUAAUUAAUAAAAAAAUUUAAACAUGUAGCUGAAAAAUUGAUAAAAAGUUGUGGAUAUCAUAAAAUAUGAUUAAAAAUGAGCUUGACAAAAAACGAAUUUUAGAAAAUGAGGGACAAAUAUUGGCAUAAUUCACAUAAAAAUAGAUUUUUGGUUAUUUAUAUUGUCUAUAGAAAUAAAAAUAGGAAAGAGAGAAGAAGAAAAAUAUAUAAUUAUAUCUAUAUAUUCGCGUCAACUCAAUACGAGAGAGUUGAGGUUGAGAAUGCAUCAAUUUGGAUCUUAAAAUUAUUAGUAACAACGAUUUAUGAAUUGUUCCAUGUACCUGUUACUCUGUUAAAGUCGUUUUCAGUUGUUAAAUAAUGCAUGUACCAGUUACUCUGUUAAGUAAUCCACGUAUCAAUUACCCUGUUAAAGUCAUUUUCAGCCGUUAAAUAAUCCAUGUACCAGUUACUCUGUUAAAUAAUCCAUGUUAAUGGGGCCCAGUCGGCCAGUCAUCCAUUCCAUGAUAUUUCCUAUGCGAACUCUUUUCUACGCGGACUCUCUUGUCCACUGUCAACACAAUUAAUCGUUACAUAGUAUAAUUUUAGCAAAUGCAGUCCCCAACUUUUGGUAGUCUUUUCACCUUUCUUCACAAUUUUUAUAUCUUUCACGUUCAACUCUUUUAUUUUCAAUUUUCAAAGCAUCUAUAAAAUAAACCUUAAGCUUAUGAGAAAGAAUUGACCCAAACACCACAAUGGUCCUAAACCCUUACUUACCUACGUGGCCAUCCCUAUCCCCUAGGGAUCAACGGAGUGGAGUGGGACGAGAUUGAUUUGUCGUUAAUAUUUCUGUCCUAUAAAAAACCUUCGGGAAGAUAGGACACAAGCAAAACAAGAAUGGGAGAUUGAGAAAAUCUCUUUUAUCAUCACGUUUAAUUAAUUAUUUACUUAUUAAUAUCAUUUCUUAUUUUUAAAACACGAUUGAGGACGGGGAAUUUUUUCAUCUCAAUAUAAUCUCUCGUUCCCUUCUGGCUUCUAUAUACCUAAUNNNNNNNNNNNNNNNNNNNNNNNNNNNNNNNNNNNNNNNNNNNNNNNNNNNNNNNNNNNNNNNNNNNNNNNNNNNNNNNNNNNNNNNNNNNNNNNNNNNNNNNNNNNNNNNNNNNNNNNNNNNNNNNNNNNNNNNNNNNNNNNNNNNNNNNNNNNNNNNNNNNNNNNNNNNNNNNNNNNNNNNNNNNNNNNNNNNNNNNNNNNNNNNNNNNNNNNNNNNNNNNNNNNNNNNNNNNNNNNNNNNNNNNNNNNNNNNNNNNNNNNNNNNNNNNNNNNNNNNNNNNNNNNNNNNNNNNNNNNNNNNNNNNNNNNNNNNNNNNNNNNNNNNNNNNNNNNNNNNNNNNNNNNNNNNNNNNNNNNNNNNNNNNNNNNNNNNNNNNNNNNNNNNNNNNNNNNNNNNNNNNNNNNNNNNNNNNNNNNNNNNNNNNNNNNNNNNNNNNNNNNNNNNNNNNNNNNNNNNNNNNNNNNNNNNNNNNNNNNNNNNNNNNNNNNNNNNNNNNNNNNNNNNNNNNNNNNNNNNNNNNNNNNNNNNNNNNNNNNNNNNNNNNNNNNNNNNNNNNNNNNNNNNNNNNNNNNNNNNNNNUGUGUUGUGUUGUGUUGUGUUGUGUUGUGUCCAUGUGUGUUUUCAAAUGAUUGUCAACAGAGGCCGGCUGCAUAUUAUGCUCCCUCCCUCUGUUUUUACAGCUUAUUUGUAAUUUAGGAAGUGUACUUGCGAUUUUAAUCUGUUCUUGUUUGAAGAAAUUUGGUGGAUCUUCUUGUUUUCUUAAUUCAAACCUGAAAAUUUUGUUGACACGAAACAGAGCAUUAACCCCUUCCGUCUUCAAAUUUCAUCAUUGAACAUUCAUCUCGUUGUUUUUGGAGGCGUGGAAUUGGGGUUUUGGAAUUCAAGUUUUUAUUGAAUUCAAUUUGAAUUUCUUCGAAUCUUUGGCCCCAAAUUAAUCUAAAACUUGCCAUGCAUCCAGUGACGACGAUGCUUAUGUUGCUGCUGACAGUGUUCAAUUGCCAAUUUUACGCAUCAUUGGAACAGUGGAAUUAUUAGCUUGGUUAUUUUAUUCAACUUAUCACUUCAUCAUUUAAUUUUUGAGACCUAUCCUAAAUUAUUCAUCAAUUUAUUUGUGUCACAUCACCAGUAUUUAGAACAAAGUUUUACAUGAUCAAAUAUAUCGAUCAAUUGUUUAAUCGAUGAUUCUAUCGAGAUAUAUUUAUUAAAGUAAAUAGCGCGGUAAAAUAAUCUAAAAUAUCAUCUAAUGAAUUAGUCAUAUAUAACAAUUAAACAUCGACACAAUUAAUUUAAUUCAUCACGAUUAAGUCAACUUAGAUGAUGCUUUAUAAGUCUCAGAACGAUCUAUUUUCAUGUUUAGAUGUUAGUGAUUGUUAGCACAACCCUAUUCAGAAACAAUAGUGUGUGCGAGAUUUGCGAAAGGGUUGAUUUGAAUUUUCUUUUUGCAUAUUUGCCUUGAAACCAAGAACUUAAAAGAGUUUCUAUUUACUAGUUACUCGCGGAGAGGAAGAAAGUUAGGUUAAAGGGUAUAAAACGUAUAAUUUUUCUAGAAAAUACAACGAUUUGAUUCAUUAUAAGAGAGAGAAAAAUAGGACAAGGUCACUUGGGUUAGGAAGACUAUAGCAAUAUCAACGUUAAAGCAAUAAUUGAAACUAAUAAUUGAUCUAAGUCAAUGGUACAUACAAGAAAUUCAAUACAAAAAUGAGCCCAGCCAAAUCUGGCUGAAGGUACUUGUUCUUGACUAAACUCACUUCUAUUGAAUUAUGUUUCGAUUGUACUGUUAUAAUUUUUGACAGUAACAAUAAUGAAAUUGUUCACAAAUAAUACAUAAAGAAAUAUCGUUAAACAAAAUGAAUAGAGAAAGAAAAAUCUCUAUUCAUCCAAUCAAUCGGUGAAUAGGACGAAUGUGGAAUAUUACAAAUUUUUUGGUACAUGGAAAUAGAGAAAAUUAAAGAGGAGGGAGAGAUUAAUCUAUACCCUACAGAGUUUGCACCAACUCAACCCCUGGUUAUCUUGACUGAAAAAUAUUAUUAAUAACUGUAAAAUAAAUAAUUUGUAAAUUUUUAAUUAUGAAGAAUGUUGCCUUGAGAGAGAGAGAAUCGGAGGUGGAAGUUGGGAGCUAAAAAAACUAUCUGAAAAAUUCUCACAUACUAGUUACUCAUUGGAGGUGGAAGUUGGGAGCUAAAGCAUUAUAUACGAUAUUAAUAGAAAAGUCGAGGAUACAUUCACACUAAGUUCAUGAACAAAGAUAAGCUUGGCCAUAUAACUUUGUCUUUGGAUAAAACUUGUAAUUGCUUCUUGUAUAGCAUCUUCAAUCGUGGUGUAAAUUUGGGUGUAAAUUGAUUUUCAAAAUCACUUUAGCAUCCCCAUUUACAUUCUGGUCGAUCUAAAUUCAAAUUUUGCUCCAUUAAAAAUAUCUAUAUUCACUUUUUGUUUCUUGUAAAUGUAAAAAAUGUAAAUUUACAUUUUUUUGUCAAAAAAUGCAGUUUGCAUUUCCUUUAUAUCUCUCCUCAUAUACAUUUAAUAAACAUUUUCAUAUAGAUAUUUAGACCAACCAUUUUCAUAUAGAUAUCCAUAAUCUUUCGAUAUCAUGUAUACUUAACAUGCUAUUACUCGACAAUAUUUGUGCAAAGGAAAAAAUUUAGCUAAGAAAACUUCAAGAAGCUAAUAAAUUUAGCUACAAUACUCAAAAUAGUGGAGACAAAAUCACGAAAAGAGGAAAAAAAAAUUGAAAUAUCAAAACUUUAAAAAAAGUUUAAAAGGAAAUGGUUUUUCCUUAUUCAAUCCAUAAAACGAGGCAUGCUAGAGCUUAUAAUUUUAUUAUGGACAGUACUUUAUUUUUUUUAUUUUUUUGAACUUUAAGACAAACUGAUACCAAAAAAUACCAAUUGGAUACAUAACUGUAUAGUAUUAAGAAGUUGAAGUCGACGUACUUUACAUGACUCGAAAUAGCAGAGACUAAAAAUCAAGAAAAAGAGGAGAAAAAAAUUAAAACAUCAAAAAUUAAAUUAAAGUUUAAGAGUACAUGGUUGUUUCUUAAUAAUUUUUGUUCAAUUCAUAAAAUGAGGCAUCCUAGAGUUUAUAAUUUUACUAUGGAGUAUGGACAAUGCUUUAAUUAUGUUAUUUUUAAAAUGAACUGACAUUAAAAAAUAUUAGUUAGAUAUAUAUAGCAUCAAGAAAUUGAAGCCCACAUAUUGAACUCGAUCAAUAUGAGUAAGAAAUGAAAAAUUAUAUUUCAAAAGAGAUCAUAAACUCGAUAUAACAAAAGAGGUACACCAUACCCUAAGUUUUGUACAUAUCAAGUUUAAUUGACAUGCUUAUAAAAAAAAUAAAUUAAAAAAUCACUUAAGUUUGUAAACAAUGCAAGAAAAUAAAAAGCUCGAAUUGCAAAGAAUGAACGUCUUGAUACAUCAACUUACACAACAAUACUUGCUCGAACAUUUUGAUUCAUGCAAAGCGUAAAUUGUAAAUAUUAAUUUAUAUCAACUUCUAAAAUGAAAUCCAACAAUCUAAUUUAAGGCCAAAUGCAAAAAGUAGAAAACGGUUAGAGUUCAGAGUAUUAGACAAAUUGAUACCAAAAUCAAAGCUUUUAGCUUUUGUAUUUUUUUACACUACCUAUAAAUUGUGAAAAACAAGAAAUUAUAUAUAAAAAAAUCGAUUAUAUUCGAGGUACCUACGAUUCUGGUCCAAUUGUCCAGGAAUAAAAAACGAUUUGAUCCCUUGCAGUUCUUGAUUUUCAAUUUUAAUUCCUAAUUUUUUUUGGUGGGAAUUAGAGCGAAACUCCGGCUCCGAUUUGAUUUUGGUUUGGGAGGUUAGGUUUCGGCUAAAGUGCCCAAGCCUAGUAAUGCAUAGAGGUAAUUAUUAAUUUCUUUCAAAAAUAUUUUGAGUAAAAUAGCAAAAUUUAUAUGUAUUUAACUCAAUUAAAUUAAAAAUCAGCUAUUAAAAGCUAAGUCCCCUCAAAAAUGAAACAAUGACGAAAAAGAGGAAAAAAAGAAAAAAAUCACCACACUAAUUGCGACCAAUUAGAAACCAAAAGGAUGUAAGAAAAAUGGCUUGGAGCCCGAAAGAAGAAAAGGAUACACAACUUAACUAAUGAUUCCAUUUUGUAAUAAGUUCGAAUUCAACUUGAUCUGCUUGAAGAUAAAUGGAGUCAACAAUAAAAACAAUAGUGGGAGCCAUUGUUGGAGCAGAUUCGUGCUUCGAAUAAAGUUAUCUUCAAAUUCCAAUAAGCAAAAUAAUAUGAUACGAAAAACUUGCAAAUAGCCCCCAAAAUUUCAUCGAUGGUUGUAACACUUGUGACAGAUGGACCGUUGAAUAAUUAAUUGGAAUCUAUUUCAAAGCUUGAUUUUCUUUUGUUCCAGACAAGAAAGAAAACAAAAUGUCUCAUUCCUCUGGUUAGAAAAUUCCCUUCUCUGCCUUUGGAAUUUUCCAAUCUUAUUUCCAAAAUUUAGUGAUAGUUUGGAUCAAAAUUAAGUUAGUCAGAGUAUAAAUUUAGUGCUCAGUUUUUAAUUUUUUUUGUUGUAUUUUAAUAAACAAACACUCAAACAAAAUCUCAAGUACAUAUGAUAAGUGAGCAGAUCUAUUUUUAGGACAUUAUGUAAUACAAAAGCCUUGGUUUGCAAUUUUGUUCUCUCUUAUGGCUCUUCUUUCGUUGUUUUGUUUCAUCCAGUUAUUAUCAAUUUUAAUAUAUUUAUUCUGCUUGAGACUGUACUUAAAAACACCGAAAUAAUAAUAAUAGGUCCAAAUUAUAAUUAGCAAUUUUUAAAUUUGUAAUUGACAAUUUUCAGUCAAAAUCAAGUCCUAGCUUAAUUGUAUUGGGAGUUUAUCAAAUUGUAAUCAAAGUCAAAGUAGGAGUUAUUGAGUCUUGAUUAUAGUAAAAAAUAGCUUGAGUUGACGGAGUUCAAAAAAAAUGUCAAAGAAAUACAAAGAGAUCAAAAUUCGGACUUCAAAAAGUAAAGCAAGAAAUGGACUCAGCAACGCUUGUUGGACGCCCUAUUGCUCAAAAUAGGGUCGUUGAUGCUUGCUCGUCAACCUAUCGCUUAAGCGGCAGUAACGUUCGACAAGAAACAUGAUUCUAUUUUAAUGCUGAUUUUGAAAUCAUUUUCACCCCCAAACACUAACUAAGAGGUAUUGAGUCAUUAUAUUACAUUAGAGAUCAUAUAAUUGAAGAUCCAAACACACAUUCAUUCUUGAUUCAACAUAAGAUCAAAAUAUUCUUAUAUUAAUAUAUUGAUUCAUCUUUGGGAGAAUGUUUAAACUAUUUAAUCAACAUGUUGUGUAGGUAUUUUUAUGAAAAAAUUGAGUAUCGGACACACGUGUCCAUGCCGGUGAAUCAUAUUACUCUAUCAAGUAGCUUAUCAUCUAGAUGUGAUAUGAAUAAGUGGCAUUCUGCUGAAUAAAAAUAGAAAACCAUCUUUUUACCAACCAUCAUAACCAGUCAAUCCUCCAACUUUUUAAUUUUUUUACCAUAGACCUUUUUUGAGUUUGUUAUUAUAAUACACGUUUGGCUAUGGUGAAAUAAACAAAUAAAUUUAAAAAAUAAAGACUAGGCUAAAUGAACUUUUUUUCCUUGUUUAUUUUUACACUAUAGACUUUUUGAGUACUGAAACUGUGGGAUGUUUGUUUCCUAUUUCUAACUACUUAUAGAAAGGUGAAUAAAAUUCACUGUAGUUGCAAUAAUGUUCGAACUUUUACUGUAGCUAAACAGUGAUUUCACUGUAGAUAUCAGUCAUACCCAUUUUUUUCCUACUCAAAAGGACGGUGAAUCCAUUUUCCCACGCAAAUCUAGACACAAGUUUUCAUCAUCAUCAUCAUCAUCAUCAUUUUCUUCUCUCAUUUCUUCUUCAAUCCUUCUCUCCUUUUUUCUGUGAUUAAUCUUUUCGUGUAAAAUUCUCAUAAAUAGCGAGGUAAAUCCUGGCAUGCCGUUUUUCUCGAGUGAAUAGAGAGGUAUAUCCUCGAUUUUAUCUGAUAGUUAUAAUUUUGUUUAUUCGAUUCACAAUUUUGGAUUUUUGUGUGAAUAAAGAGGUAUAUUCUUGGUUUAACGUAAAUUAAAAUGCUUAUUAGCUUGUUAAUUCAUUUAUAUCUCUUGUGUAUCUCAUGUGUUGGGUUUUUGAUACCCAAUAAAUCCUGAGUUAUGAUGUUAACGUGGGUUAAUAUUAUUUCAUAAGCAUAGGUCGAUGAAUGAAAUAAAUCCAACAACCAAAUCCAUGAGUUAUACCCGGUCCAAUUGUAUUUUCUUAUGGAUGGCUUGAAUCUUGGCCCGUUUACUCCUUUAAUGGAACAACUUAAAGCCUAACCCUAGAGUAUAUAUUUGGCUAUAACCCUAGUCACUUUCUAAUGAUGAUUGUGUGAUUUUGGGAGAAGAAACAAGAUAAUCCCGGCUGCCCCCCUUUGUGUGUGAAAAAAGGUCUUCAGAAGUGUCCAGAGCGCUUGUAUAACGUGUGCAAUUGGUGGUUUCUUCAUAGUAUACCAUUGUGGUAUUUUCUCCACAAAUCAUCAUUCUUUUUUGUCCUACAUGGGUAAGAUUGAAUAGCAACCAAGGUGAAUCAAUUGGUUGUGGUUUGGAGCUGAUUGGACUGGUUGUUGGUUGAGAAAGAUGCGUUGGACCGAGCUCGGAAAUCACCAAUUUGAAGAUCUUUCAAGAGAGCUUCCGCAACAAUUGGUGUCAGAACUUCAAGGUGGUGGUUUUUGACUCGUGAAACAUACCAAAAACGUCCAGAAAUCGCAGCAGAAAUCAGAUCGAAGAAACUGUCCAAAAACUGUCAAAAUCAGUCUCCGUUUUUCGCAUUUUUUGAUCAAUCCAGAAGGAGUUUGGGGAAACGGAGACCACUGGUGUAACGUGCAGGAGGAGGCGAACACUGCAGGUCGGUGCGUGUCGGUCGAUGGCAGAGCGUGGGGGCAGCGUGAGACCUACGCGUAGAGGAAAGGAGCUACGCGAGAGGGCGCGUGGAGCCUUUUUUGGCGACGGUCUCUUCAGGCAGUUUGUUCCUCAUAUUAUUUCUAACAUUUUUCGUGUUAAAAGUUUUCUAUUUCAGGGUACACGGUAGAAUCUGGACAACGUUGUUCUUCGGGCGUUUGGGACUAGAUUGCGAUUUUUUUGGUUGCUGCAGUUUCCAGAGACUUUAGGACGAAUAGUGGUGGUCCUAAAGUGAUAAAUUCGCAACUUUCGUAAUUUAUGGACUUAGAUAGGUUCGCUCUGGUAUAUUGACUUAACUCAGUUUGAAUUUCAGCAUUAGUAGAUCAUCGUGUGGGGUGAUUGUUAGGAUUGGGGGUUGUCAUUGCUUGACAACCAUUGCCUGUGCUAGAAAAUUUAGGAAUUAUUUACUCUAUUUUGAAGUAUUGAACUUUGAUUGCAAGUUGGUAGGUGAUUUUGUGCUUAUCCGUUAUAUAGUCACUGUGUGAGACUUGUUGCAUGAAAAUUUGAAAUUUUUGUUUAUAUACCUUCUUGUUUGCAUUAAUUAUCCAAUUAGAACACCUGGACUUGACCCGUUCGAACAUUCCCUUGAUCUAAGAUCGUGAAUCUUACGAAACCCUGGGAAUCUAGAACGGUAUAUAUUGCGACCUUAGGAUUACUUUGUGUGACCUAUUUGUGACUUGAUUGUUCUGUUUUUUUAUUUUCUCCUUAAAAAUAUCUUCACACUUUGAAGUAGAAAUUUUUAAUGGGAAAUGUGAUUUUUCAAUUUGGCAACAAAAGAUGAAGGGUAUUUUGGUCCAAAAAAAAGUUUCAAAGGCCAUAGAUAGCAAAUUUUCUGUAAAUUUAACAGAAGUACAAGAAGAUGAGUAUGAUGAACUUGCAUACACUUCAAUUAUUUUACACCUGUCUGAUACUAUUUUGAGAAAAUUAGAAAAACUGGAUUCUACAAAACAAUUUUGGGAAAAGUUGGAGGACUUAUAUUUGCUUAAGUCAACUCCUAAUAAAUUGUACUUGCUUGAACGAUUUUUCAACUUUAAAAUGGAUCCUUCAAAGGAUUUUGAUGACAAUCUGGAUGUCUUUAACAAGUUAGUUCAAGACAUCGUUAAUUAUGAUGAAGAGGUAUCUGAAACAUAUAAAGCUAUUAUCCUGCUUAAUUCCAUGCCUGAUUCAUAUGGGGAAGUUAAGAAUGCAAUUAAGUACGGUAGGGACACCUUAACUCCCGAGAUUGUCAUGGAUUCACUUAGAAGUAAGGAGGUAGAGAUUAAGGUUGAAAAAGAGGAUAAGAGGAGUGGCGAGUUACAUAUGAUCAGGAGUAUGAUGAAGUUUAAGCAAAUGAAUUUGGGUAGAACUUAAGACGGUAGUGAUUUGAGUUGUGACUUGAGUGAUGAGGGUAGUAAGAAGAAGGGCAAGGGACGAGACAAGUCUAGUGGUAGAAGGUGUUACAGUUAUGAUAAGUCUGGACACUUUAUUAGGGACUGUCCCAAGAAGAAAGAUAAGCCGAAGGGUAAGAUGAGAGGUGAGACGAAUUUGGUUGAGGGAUCGAGUUAUGACCCCAGUGAGAUUUAUUAAGUGUAAACCUAGUCACUGCAUAUGCAUCUGUGUGUGAUCCUUUUCUGCAUGUGUGUGAUUGUCUAAAUUUUGUUGCAUGAUUAUCUGCUACAUCUCAAUGUGUUUGAUAUGUGCAUUUGCAUGAAUUUGAAACAUUAGGAUUGCUUGGUGUAAUUACUUGUAUGCAUAAUGGGUUAGGAUGCAUUAGCAGUGUGUUGUGUAUAUUUUGGUGAGGCGGAGUAUAGAUGUCUAGGUGUACAUGGUGGUUUGUACCAGGGAUGUAGAGUGUGACAUCUGGAUCACGAGUGAAGAUGUGAUCAAAUAUCUAGAAUCCUUUAUUUGGAAAGAGACCCUGAUUAGGUGGAGUGUGAGAGAGGCACUUCUAUCACUUUUGUUAGGUGGAGACCCAUUAUCCACGUAGGUUGGGAGAAACGAUGUGUAGAUAGAGGAUUAUCCCGUGGACUUAGGAUCUAUUGUGACUUGCCAGUUAGACAUGAGUUGAGUGAUCUGUCUAGUGAGCUUGGUGGGCGAUGAGAGGAGAUAUGUGUUCUCGAGGUGUGAGCAACACGGAAUGGGAUAGGAUAAGUGUGGUGAGAUCUUUUCUUAGGUCAUUUAUGCAUGUGUUGCAUAUGUGGUUGACCGUGGUUUGAUUGACUUGGUGUUAAUCUAUGGUUCUAUGUGAACGUAUUUUUGAAAAGAUCUGUGUGUAUUAUCCUAUAGUAUAUCGUCAUCGCACGUAUAUUUACUCUUGAAUUUUUAUUGUUAAAUAUUUGCUUCUAUUUGGGUUUUUUUGACCUUAGCCCUUGUGAGUACAUGGAGCAGGUAUGGUAUGUGUUUCAAGUUGGAAACACGAGGUAAGGUUUGUGAUCCAAUUUCAUUGGCUACCUUGAUUAUGCAAGUGCUAAUUGUGUGUUUUGAUUGCUUGCAGAUUUAUUGGGCAUCAAGGUGGAGAUUUGUUGGAUUUUUGAUACCCAAUAAAUCUUGGGCUAUGAUGUUAACGUGGAUUAAUAUUAUUUCAUAGGCAUAGGCUGAUGAAUGAAAUAAGUCCAACAAUCAACUCCAUGAGCUACACCUGGCCCAAUUGUAUUUCUUUAUGGAUGGCUUGAAUAUUGACCCUUUACCCCUUUAAUGGCCCUACUUAAAGUCUAACCCUAAAGUAUAUAUUUGGCUAUAACCCUAGCCACUUUGUAAUGAUGAUUGUGUGAUUUUGAGAGAAGAAACAAGAGAAUCCCGGCUGUCCCCUUUGUAUGUGACAAAAGGUCUCCAAAAGUGUCUAGAACGCUUGUAUAACGUGUGCAAUUGGUGGUUCCUUCAUAGUAUACAUUUGUGGUGUUUUCUCCUAGCUUUUGUGGCCACAAAUCAUCAUCAUUUCUUGUCCUACGUGGGUAAAAUUGAAUAGCAACCAAGGUGAAUCAAUUGGUUGUGGUUUGGAGCCGAUUGGAUUGGUGCGUUGGAUUAAGCCUGAAAAUCACGAAUUUGAAGAUCUUUCAAGAGAGUUUCCGCAACAUCAUGCAUUAACAAUCUUGAUAGAAAUCGUGAAGUAUGGCUUCUUGUAGCAAUCUUGGUCCGCAGUCUCGCACAGACUGUGCGGGAACUUUUUGGGUUUUAACACUAAAUAAUUUUGAAGGUAUGGUCUUAUCUUAUCUUAAUUCCUAAAUUUGUGUUACAUGUUUGAGUUUUCGUCAUUUCAUUAAUUUUGGGAGUAUGGGUUUUGUUUGUUGAUGAUUGUUCCGAUGAUGUCAUGAAUAGACUUUUGAUAUGUGUUGCAGAAAAGAAGUCUUGAAUUUUAAUAUUUUUUUUAGAGUCAACUAGGGAAAAAAUCUGCCUUUAGUACUCUGCAUAUAGUAUCUAUUUUAAAUGCCUUAUGUAUUUUUUCUCUUAUUUUCUGCUAUAAAUUUCUCUAAUGUGUUCUAACAAAAUUUUUCAUAGCCUGAGCUGACCAAAUCUGUAAAUUUUGUUAAUUGAUCUGUGAUCUAACAUGUAGUGGUUAAUUUAUUCUUUUCUUGCACGUGUCUCUACAUAGAGCAUUGAAAGUCACAGUUUUACCUCGAGCUAAUAUGGUAUUUUUCUCCCCUUUUCAAACUUUUAUUCAGUAAAUUUUUCUUUCAUUUUAAAAAAUAAAAUAAAAGAUAAGGAGUCCCCGCACAGACUCCGCACGAAUUGUGCGGGGACUCCUUACGGAAUUAGUGUGGUGUCCCCAUGUGGAAUCCGCACGACCACGUGUGGGCUCCCAUAAAAUUAUAAAUUAUCUUUUACUUAUAUUCCCACAAUUUUAAAUCAAAUUUUUACUAAUUGCCAGAGAAAAUUCAUGCCAAAAAUUUAAUUCAAACUUUAAAAGCAUGUUAGAAUUAUGACAAAAAAACCAAAAUCUCUACAUCACGCUAAUAAAUACAUAUUAAAUACAAUAAUCGUGCAACGUACAUGGCAUCGACUAGUUUGUAAGAAUGAGAAUGAAAAAUAUAGCUGUUAUGGACCCCAACAAGAGAUAGAAAUUCAAAUUUGAUGGCUUGAUGUCAUGGAUAACGGUCAUAUUUUUCAUUUUAAUGGAGGAAAAAAUGGGAAACAAACAGGGGCUGUAUUUGCCUUUUCAGUGACCAAAAGGGAGCUGUUGUAUCCUUGCCUGAUGACUGAGCUACAAUAAAACUAUUACAGACGCCCCUCCAACUAAUUAAGUCAAUCUUUAUUUUAAUUAAGAAGGUUCAGGGCCCAACCCCUACCAACUUUUCACCUUUUACCGCAGCUACAACCAAAGAUUAGCAUACAAGUUCUACUGUUCAAGCCAUAUCUACUUCCAUUAACAGAAUGGAAAUCAGUGGAUAUUAAUAGAAUUUGUGCAUGUAUUCAAAAUUUAGCAACUUCACUUCCCUAUUGGGCUAUCUUACUAGAAAUCUGAUGUCUGAAUUUUGUAAAUAUUGUAGUUUGAAAUUCAGAAUUUCAAAAGUCAUUGGCUUACAAAAUUUAAUUCAAGCAUUGGUUGCUUUACAAGAGUUAGUUUUACCAACUCUUGGUAACAGCAUCCACAAUCAACAAAUCAAGAAGAUCCACACCAUAGCUAAUAUUUAGAAUAGUCUAUGAAAAGGGGCAUAAAUUCGUAAUGAACCUUUUGGCUAAUCUUUAUAACCAAUGAAUUUGUUUCCACACAAAAGUCUGAUCUGUAAAGAGAUCAGGUCGUGCGUGGUAUCUUCAUCAGGUAAAAUAGUUUCCACACCCAUCAAGUCAUUACGCCUACAUGGAAGAGCAAAGUAAAUCAAAUAUCGGGUCAUGGGCUCCUCAAAUGCAGCAUCGACAACUGCAAACGAACCAUGUUCAGUUGUCUAAUGACUGACUCAGGAAAUGGCACUGACUUUAUAAGGAACAUAACCAAAGGUGGAAUGGAACUAUGGCCAGCAAUCUUCAUAUUUCAGAUUUAUGUAAUAUAGUUCAAAUAUGGCAGGUGAAGCAAGUCUGCGUAGGGAAUAAUACAUACAGGAUUAGAGUUAAAAAAUGGCAGAUGAGGCAUGACUGCGUAGGCAACAAUACCUACAGAAAUAGAGUCAAUUUUGAAGAAAAUCAUAGCUGUGAAAGUAAUACUUUCAGUUUAAACUUCAUUUCCAGCAGAUUCAGUGCCGACCAAUGAUUUUAUUUAUCAAAACAAAAUUAAAUUCAUAAGUUUAGCAGAAGUAUCUUAGUAAAACAGAAACAGAAAAUAAAACAAGCAUAUCCUCCCUAAUAACUUCUUGCUUAUCUUACAGUCAACAACAAAAUUUCAAUACUCAUGCUAGAAAGGAGCUUCUUCAUAGUAUUCAUUCAAUUUAUUUAUCUUAUUAUUUAUUAUUAUUAUUAUUAUUAUUAUUAUUAUUAUUAUUAUUAUUAUUAUUAUUAUUAUUAUUAUUAUUUAUUUAUUUUUCAGUUUCCUAACGUCUAUAGCAAUAAGAUUGUUGAUAAUCCUAUUCCAAAUUUUGAAGUGGAGUUUUGGUUGUUCAAGCAUGUGUAUGAAUUGCCCAAAAUUGGUUCUUAUUUUUAGAGUCACAGACAACUUGACAAUUGACAAGCACUUAAUCAUCAAGAGCUUAACAGAUAAACUCAACAGAAGACAACUUCAGAUAUAACAUUUAACAACGGAACCAAGCUUGCGUCAUUUCUACUCUUCCAUCAAUUGCAUACAAGAGAAGUUCAAUGCAACCCUAAAAAACUAAGUAUAGCUACAGGUGCUGGUCAGAUAUACAGAUUAUAACUUCAUCAACUAAUCAAUUAUUUAUUUUGCAACUACUAAAGUAACGCAAGAUACAUGGGGAAAAAAAACAAAAAAAACCCUAAUUUGAAUGAUAACUGGCGCUCACCAUUUAAGAGCUGUCAAAAAAUCCACUCCGACACCAAUGCAAAAUCCCACUCGCAUGAAACCCUUUCUUCUUUACCAAUCUUCACUUCCCUUCUCUCUUCAUACUCACCAGAAUCUCUGAAUCCCUACGCCUCACCGCCAUACUCCACCAGUCAAUUGUGCCGUCCCAUUAUACAAAACGACGCCGCCGCCACUGCACACAGCCUCUCUAGCCUCCUUCCACCACCUACACAAACCAAAAAUAAAAUAAUAAAAGAUGGUUGCUGAAGGGGGGAGAAGGAGUGAUCGAAGAGGGUAAAAACGUCGUCGGCAUCUUCGGAUGGGGAGGGAAAGAGUAGAGAGUCCAUGAAACGGAUGGAUUUGAAAAGUAAAAGUCGAAGGAAGGAAGAGAAUAAACGAAUAGAUGCGUUAAAGAAAAAACGGAGGGGAAAAGUCAAGAGUUCGGCUAUGUUGUGUCGUUUCAGGUUGAGGCCACGGUUCA